This 459-nucleotide ribosomal RNA is filed under the name uncultured Weissella sp. Its description in RNAcentral is "partial 16S ribosomal RNA". It matches the Rfam family "Bacterial small subunit ribosomal RNA", at positions 341 to 792 of the family's 1533-position model. The record is from RNAcentral. Lineage: Bacteria; Bacillati; Bacillota; Bacilli; Lactobacillales; Lactobacillaceae.
ACGGAAGGCAGCAGUAGGGAAUCUUCCACAAUGGGCGAAAGCCUGAUGGAGCAACGCCGCGUGUGUGAUGAAGGGUUUCGGCUCGUAAAACACUGUUGUAAGAGAAGAAUGACAUUGAGAGUAACUGUUCAAUGUGUGACGGUAUCUUACCAGAAAGGAACGGCUAAAGACGUGACAGCAGCCGCGGUAAUACGUAUGUUCCAAGCGUUAUCCGGAUUUAUUGGGCGUAAAGCGAGCGCAGACGGUUAGUUAAGUCUGAAGUGAAAGCCAUCAGCGCAACUGAGGAAUUGCUUUGGAAACUGGAUGACUUGAGGGCAGUAGGGGAAAGUGGAACUCCAUGUGUAGCGGUGAAAUGCGUAGAUAUAUGGAAGAACACCAGUGGCGAAGGCGGCUUACUGGACUGUAACUGACGUUGAGGCUCGAAAGUGUGGGUAGCAAACAGGAUUAGAUACCCUGGUA